This 312-nucleotide ribosomal RNA is filed under the name Streptomyces sp. RNAcentral describes it as "bacterial SSU rRNA". It matches the Rfam family "Bacterial small subunit ribosomal RNA", at positions 983 to 1290 of the family's 1533-position model. Lineage: Bacteria; Bacillati; Actinomycetota; Actinomycetes; Kitasatosporales; Streptomycetaceae. The record is from RNAcentral.
GACAUACACCGGAAACAUCCAGAGAUGGGUGCCCCCUUGUGGUCGGUGUACAGGUGGUGCAUGGCUGUCGUCAGCUCGUGUCGUGAGAUGUUGGGUUAAGUCCCGCAACGAGCGCAACCCUUGUCCCGUGUUGCCAGCAGGCCCUUGUGGUGCUGGGGACUCACGGGAGACCGCCGGGGUCAACUCGGAGGAAGGUGGGGACGACGUCAAGUCAUCAUGCCCCUUAUGUCUUGGGCUGCACACGUGCUACAAUGGCCGGUACAAUGAGCUGCGAUACCGUGAGGUGGAGCGAAUCUCAAAAAGCCGGUCUCA